AAAAGUUAGUUAAAUUAUAACAUAAAUAUGUCAUGUUUAAAUUAUCAAAAAAUUGAUACUUUUU
RNAcentral lists this transfer RNA (64 nucleotides) under Hemerobius simulans. RNAcentral's name for it is "tRNA-Asp". RNAcentral also lists the same sequence under 1 other name. The record is from RNAcentral. Lineage: Eukaryota; Metazoa; Arthropoda; Insecta; Neuroptera; Hemerobiidae.